This 1011-nucleotide ribosomal RNA is filed under the name Laeocathaica amdoana. RNAcentral describes it as "16S ribosomal RNA". Lineage: Eukaryota; Metazoa; Mollusca; Gastropoda; Stylommatophora; Camaenidae. The record is from RNAcentral.
CCUAGUGUAAUAAAUAUAUUACCAGCUUAAUAAGACUCAUUAAUGGUAUCUCACGAAUUUAUGGAAAUAUUACCUUUUGCAUAAUGGAUUAAUUAUAAUUUCAAAUUUAAUAAUUGUUCACGAAAUAGUUUGAGCUAAAUAUAUUUUACUACUUGGUAGUUUUCAUUGUGUGUAGCAUAACACAAAAUAUAAUAAUAUUUAGGGGUGAUAGACCUUUCAAAUUCUAUGAUAUCUUGAUAUUAUUUAAAUGUAAUAGUACAGAUACAAAUAUAAAGUGAUUAGGCUUUAUAUAAUUAUAAAAAUUAUUUAAUAAUCAAAACAGGUGUAAUUACCAGUUUGAACUUAUAGUAAUAUUAAUAUUAAUAUGCUUAUAUAAGAGUAAAUAAUUUUAACCUAAAUAACCUUGGUUGUCUAUAAUGUUAAUAUAAGUAAAACAUUAGGCGUUUUAAAUGAACUCGGCAAAUUAAGCUCUCAACUGUUUAUCAAAAACAUAACUGUAUGAAUAGAUAUAUAGCGAUUUCUGCUCAAUGGUUAAUUUAAAUAGCCGCAGUAAUUUGACUGUGCAAAGGUAGCAUAAUCAUUUGGCCUAUAAUUGGGGUCUAGUAUGAAAGAAUAUAUGGGGGCUAGCUGUCUCUAGAAUGUGACUUGAAAUUACUUAUUGGGUGAAAAUUCCCAUUUAAAAAUAAUAGACGAGAAGACCCUAGAAAUUUUAAAGAUUAGUGAGGAUUUUGUUUUUGUUGGGGCGACAUAAUAGCACAUUAAACCUAUUUUAAUUAUAUAUGAUUAUUAUAAUAAGAUAAAUUAAAUUACUCUAGGGAUAACAGCAUAAUAUUAAAAAGUUUGUGACCUCGAUGUUGGAUUAGGGAAUAAUAGCCCAGAAGGCUUUUUAUUUAGCUCUGUUCGAGCGGAAUUCCCCUACAUGAUCUGAGUUCAGACCGGCGUAAGCCAGGUCAGUUUCUAUCUUUAUAUUAAUUUAUUGUAGUACGAAAGGAAACAGUAAAAUUCAAUAAG